RNAcentral lists this long non-coding RNA (228 nucleotides) under Gallus gallus (chicken). The record is from RNAcentral. Lineage: Eukaryota; Metazoa; Chordata; Aves; Galliformes; Phasianidae.
CCCCCGUCAGCAUCAACCGGGGAGGGGGCGGCCCCCGCGGCCACGCCGGCACCACCUACAUCUUUGGCAAGGGGGGGGCACUGAUCACCUACACGUGGCCCCCCAAUGACCGGCCCAGCACCCGCGCCGACCGCCUGGCCUUGGGAUUCAGCACCCAGCAGCGCGACGCUGUCCUGGUGCGCGUGGAGAGCGCCUCGGGGCUGGGGGACUUCCUGCAGCUGCACAUCG